UACGUAGGGACCAAGCGUUGUCCGGAAUCAUUGGGCGUAAAGAGCGUGUAGGCGGCUUGUUAAGUCUUGCGUGAAAUCUCGGGGCUCAACCCCGAGCGGUCGUGAGAAACUGGCAGGCUAGAGUGCGGGAGAGGAGAGUGGAAUUCCUGGUGUAGCGGUGAAAUGCGCAGAUAUCAGGAGGAACACCGGUGGCGAAGGCGGUUCUCUGGGCCGAUACUGACGCUGAGGAGCGAAAGCGUGGGGAGCGAACAGG
This 253-nucleotide ribosomal RNA is filed under the name uncultured bacterium. RNAcentral describes it as "partial 16S ribosomal RNA". It matches the Rfam family "Bacterial small subunit ribosomal RNA", at positions 524 to 776 of the family's 1533-position model. The record is from RNAcentral.